AAGCGGUGGAUGAUGUGGAUAAUUCGAUGCAACGCGAAAACCUUACCUACCUUGACAUGUCUGGAAAGCCGAAGAGAUUUGGCCGUGCUCGCAAGAGAACCGGAACACAGGUGCUGCAUGGCUGUCGUCAGCUCGUGUCGUGAGAUGUUGGGUUAAGUCCCGCAACGAGCGCAACCCUUGUCAUUAGUUGCUACGCAAGAGCACUCUAAUGAGACUGCCGGUGACAAACCGGAGGAAGUGGGAUGACGUCAAGUCCUCAUGGCCCUUAUGGGUAGGGCUUCACACGUCAUACAAUGGUCGGGACAGAGGGUCGCCAACCCGCGAGGGGGAGCCAAUCUCAGAAACCCGAUCGUAGUCCGGAUCGCAGUCUGCAACUCGACUGCGUGAAGUCGGAAUCGCUAGUAAUCGCGGAUCAGAAUGUCGCGGUGAAUACGUUCCCGGGUCUU
Molecule: ribosomal RNA, 446 nt
Filed under: uncultured Alcaligenes sp.
Lineage: Bacteria; Pseudomonadati; Pseudomonadota; Betaproteobacteria; Burkholderiales; Alcaligenaceae
Description: bacterial SSU rRNA
Rfam family: Bacterial small subunit ribosomal RNA
Source: RNAcentral